UGAUCCCUCGGUUCAUGGUUGGUGGUGUCCAGCAGACAGAAUACAGCAGAUGCUGAGACAAUAAGUCAUCACACUUUGGCUACUUCUAGAGACAGACAAAGUGAAGAUAAACAAGAAGAGAUGGAGAUCUGUUGAUGAUGCUGUAUGAUGACACAUUUACACCUUUAGAGGACAGACAUAAAAAUGGAAUCGCACUGACCAGCACAUGUUGGAUGACCAUAUCUAAUACUUGUAAACUGCUGUGAAUGAAAAAAAAAAAAAAGUUGAAAGGAAACUACAAUGAACAUGGUCCUGUGCCCACUGUACCCAAAGGAAAAAUUACCAUUUACUUUAAUGACACAGAAUUAGGUCCUAUUUCUCACUGACAACCACUGUUUUAAAUGUAAAUUUUUUCCAUUUUACUCACAUGGAAAACUUAAGGGUGGGCUCAGUUACUAGUCAUCAAGAAAAGCAAAAUCCACACUUUAUGUUUAAAAUAUAUUUUUUUCUGUGAUUAUGUCCCUUUUUUAUUCAUUUGCCAUGAAUAUUAGAGUUAAUAAGUUUCAUUAGGAAGAGCAUAAAUUCAGCACACAUUGCAAAUUAUUUAUGAAAAACAGAUCUCAUUUUCACAGUCUUGAUUGUUUACAUCAUGAUUUACAUGCAUGUGAACUCUUCACCAGAAAGACUGUGAACUUUUUCCAGCUGUAUCAUUAUUCCUUAAGGCAUUUUUUCUCCCUAUUCUUUACUUAUGGCUUUAGAUUCCACAGGUAGUCAAAUUAAUGUGGAGGAGCAGCCUUUUGUCCUUCCAGACAAACAGUUUUGCAGAUUGUUUAGAGCUCUGAAAUGAUCAUCAGUUCAUCAAAGUUCACUGACAAGUCUUUUGAUGCUUCAUCAUUGAUAUUUCAUGACAAGUUGUUAUCAUAGGUGUAUCAUAAUAAUCCAACUUAUUCCAUUACCAUAGACCCUCUGAACAAGGACUGAAGAACAUAGGAGCUUCUAGUAUCAACAGGAGCCAUUUCUUUGUGCUGAAGACUUGUAUUUUCUCUUUAGUAGAAUUGACUGUAUCUUCUCAUGGCUUAAUAUCUAGAACAUGCAAAGAAGUCCAGUCUUAUUUUGCUAGGAAAAAGUUUGAAUUUGAAUUUAAAUAGCAGCAGUCACCUUGAAAUGCCCUUAUGAAUGUCAUAAAAUAAUUAAUAAUAAAAAAUACCAUUGUAUACAGUGGUGAGUUGAGAACAAAAGAAAACAAGAUUUAAAAGCUCAUUUAUAACCUCUGAAAAAAGUUAAAACAAUUUACAUUGGCUUCCUUGGACAUAAGGGCUCUAGGUUGUUGUCCAGCCACAUUUCUUGCUAAAAAGUCCUUACCUGAAUUCUAUAAUUUGAGGCUUAGACAUUGCUUUUAUCACUCAUCAGAGACAUUCAAAAUAAUUAAAGUAUUUCCAAGGAACCCUAGGCAGACAAACACCAAGUUGUGGAGAAUUGAGAGGGAAACUGUUGGAAAAUUCCAGUGAUUUAUCAUCAAGUUAAUGGGCAAGGGAUUUGAUUGGCAGUAUCCCCAAAAGGUGAGAAAUGCAAGAGAAAACAAAUGUCAUUGCGUGUUAAGUAACAAACAUGAAAGUUGUCAUAUCAUAAUUUUUCACAGGGAUGGGUUUGGCUGCUGCUUGGCAUCUGGUAUAUAGUUAAAUCUGCAUGUUAUUAUAUCUUAAUCAAGCAAAUCCAAAUGGAAAUAAACAAAUAGAAAUAAACCAAUUCCA
Molecule: non-coding RNA, 1730 nt
Organism: Anas platyrhynchos (mallard)
Lineage: Eukaryota; Metazoa; Chordata; Aves; Anseriformes; Anatidae
Source: RefSeq, a predicted model, not a curated record